RNAcentral lists this ribosomal RNA (253 nucleotides) under uncultured bacterium. Its description in RNAcentral is "partial 16S ribosomal RNA". It matches the Rfam family "Bacterial small subunit ribosomal RNA", at positions 524 to 776 of the family's 1533-position model. The record is from RNAcentral.
UACGGAGGGUGCAAGCGUUAUCCGGAUUUACUGGGUUUAAAGGGUGCGUAGGUGGGUUGGGUAGUCAGUGGUGAAAUACUUUCGCUUAACGAAGGAACUGCCAUUGAUACUCCCAGUCUUGAAUACAGUGGAGGUGGGCGGAAUGCGUCAUGUAGUGGUGAAAUACUUAGAUAUGACGCAGAACACCUAUUGCGAAGGCAGCUCGCUACACUGUCAUUGACACUGAGGCACGAAAGCGUGGGGAUCAAACAGG